This 2710-nucleotide long non-coding RNA is filed under the name Monodelphis domestica (gray short-tailed opossum). RNAcentral describes it as "lncRNA (ENSMODG00000046412.1)". The record is from RNAcentral. Lineage: Eukaryota; Metazoa; Chordata; Mammalia; Didelphimorphia; Didelphidae.
AUGAGGCUGCGGGAUCCACUGCUCAAAACAUACCAAUCGCGGAGGAGUGUCGGGCAGCUCCCUCCCCUCCCGAGCUGGGUCGUCUGCUCCGCACGUAGGGAUGGAGAGGGUAGGACCGGGGGCGGGGGCUGGUCCCGCCCACCAGGGGGCGGGGCAGGACAGGGGCGGGGCUCCAGUACCCGGCGCGCUCGGGUGUCAGUGUCGGCGUCGGCGGGCCCCGGAGCCGCAGGUGGCUGCGCUGGCUGGUGGAGGACGCUGCGAGGGCCGCAGGGAGGGAUGAGGAAAGAACAACAGACUGGAAUUCUCCCCCCUCCUCCAGGGGCUGAAGCCGGGCUGUGCUUCCUCCAGAGUGAGUGACCGGCCCCAGGAGGGGCAGCAGGGGACCGGCCGUCCACCACGAUGUCCUAUUUUGGGGAGUACUUUUGGGUAAGUAAAGCCUCGUUUGGCUAGAGGACGGGGGUUGCCGAGGCUGAGCUUGGUUCUCAUUGGUGGGGGUACACAGGGUUAUGGGUGCCAUGGCAGGGGGGCCCAAGGCUGGGGUGCUGGCUCUCCCCAGAGGGAGCCCUCUGUAGCAGCUCCAGAAAGCUGGAUGAAGAGCAGAGGAGCAGACUGAGAUGCUGCCCUUGGACAGCCCCUGUCUGGGGAAGGGGGAGGUCGUCCUGGAAAGAGGUUUUAGAACUGGGUUCAAAUCCCAUCUCCAGUAUUUCCUCUCCACGAGCCUUUGAGCGUCUGAACUUCUGUAGAAUGAAGGGCUCCUCCUAAGUGAUCUAUAAGGCCCUUCCUCAGACCCCAGGGAAAGAGGACGAUGAAGACACAGGGGCCCUGCCUUAGAGAGCUCCCAGUCCCAAGAGAAGACACAUAGGGUGGGGUAGAGGACCAAAUCCAAACUAGUGGAUUUAAUCAAGGAAGACUUCCUGGAGGAGGGCUCUUGUGGGAGGGACCCCGACGACCACAGAUCUCUUAGCAUCUUUGGCAGGAGAUUCUCUGAGCAGGCUUUAGGACCCUGGCUAAGGUCCCCAGGGCUAGAGAUGAGGUCUCUGUCCCUCUGGACACCCCCCACCCCCAUCGUGGCCAUUCUUCCUGCCAUGUCAGGAACUGCUCUGAACCGAGGGAAUUUCCUGACCAUCCCUGACCCAGAAAUGAUUGGGGCUUUUUUCCCUUGUAUUCCCAGCUCCUCCCAUCCCCCUCACCAUGUACCUUAGAAGCCCCAGGACCCCUUGGAGUCUUCAGAGCAUGAUUUCCAACAGGGAAGGGAGGGGGCUAUCCUGUGGGGAAGAUGGGGAGACAGAAAAAUCUAGAUGGGGUGGGGGUGGCUUUCAGCCCCCCUCUCAGCCCCCUUUUUACAAGCCCACUUGCUCUGCCAAAGGGAGACCCAGGUUGCUGAGUAACCGGUUGCCCCUGGCAACAGAGCCAGGAAAAGGCAGCUCAGCUUCUCAACCUCCACUUAGAGCCUGAGGCCAGGGUCCCCUUCCUUAAAGGGGCCAUACUCACUCUCCUUGGUGCCCCGCCUGCCCCAGAGUUAGAGAGCAGCCUCCCCAGGCAUGGAGGAGAAGUCAUCCCCCGGCCCCAUCUCCAUCCUUCUUUUGUUGGAAGCGAGAUGAGCUUUGAGAUCCUGCCAUCAAUCCUCUUCCUUUUGCCAUUGGGCACAGAGAUGUCGAGGCCCAGAGAGAGGAAGGAACAUGGCAGGGGUCAUUUAGACAUUCAGCUAUCCUGGCUCCCUGACUAGGGCUCCUUACAAACCACUAUGUGGGAGAGAAAGAGAGGCUCAGAGCUGGAAAGGCCUGGAGAACCCAGGAUGUCAGAGCUGGGAGGGAGCUUAGAACAGAGAAUGUCAGAGCUGGGAGAGACCUUAGAACAGAGAAUGUCAGAGCUGGGAGGGAGCUUAGAACAGAGAAUGUCAGAGCUGGGAGGGAGCUUAGAACAGAGAAUGUCAGAGCGGGGAGGGAGCUUAGAACAGAGAAUGUCAGAGCUGGGAGGGAGCUUAGAACAGAGAAUGUCAGAGCUGGGAGGGAGCUUAGAACAGAGAAUGUCAGAGCUGGGAGAGUCCAUAGAACAGAGAAUGUCAGAGCUGGGAGAGAGCUUAGAACAGAGAAUGUGAGAGCGGGGAGGGAGCUUAGAAUAGAGAAUGGCAAAAGCUGGGAGGGAGCUUAGAACAGAGAAUGUCAGAGCCUGGGAGGGAAGCUUAGAACAGAGAAUGUCAGAGCUGGGAGGAAGCGUAGAAUAGAGAAUGGCAAAGCUGGGAGGGAGCUUAGAACAGAGGAUGUCAGAGCUGGGAGGGAGCUUAGAGCAGAGAAUGUCAGAGCUGGGAGAACCUUAAGGACAAAGGAAUCAGAGCAGAGAAAAGGCCCUUCCAAUGCAAGAUGUCAGAGCUGGGGGAGCCCUUGGGAACCACUUGUUCCAUUACCUUAGUUUUAAAGGGGAGAAAAGUCCAGAGAGGAAAGGGCAUAGCCAAAGUCUCAUAGCCAGUUGCAGCUGAGGCAGCCUUUGGUCUCCAGACUUCUAUCCUGUAGCCAAGGAAUCCUUCCACUACCCUCUCUCCUCCUCUGUCCUGAUCUCCUCGCUUCCCUUCCCCUUCUCUCUCCUUGCCCUCCCCUCUUUACGACUCACAAGAAAGAUGGGUGCUCACAUAUGGAAAGAUGACUAAUAGUAUGAGACAUGAUGUGCUAAGUACCCCUUGGACUGAAUAAACAAUGAAUUCUGUGGGGGCUCA